This 484-nucleotide ribosomal RNA is filed under the name uncultured bacterium. Its description in RNAcentral is "partial 16S ribosomal RNA". It matches the Rfam family "Bacterial small subunit ribosomal RNA", at positions 30 to 507 of the family's 1533-position model. The record is from RNAcentral.
AUUGAACGCUGGCGGCAGGCCUAACACAUGCAAGUCGAGCGGAUGAAGGGAGCUUGCUCCUGGAUUCAGCGGCGGACGGGUGAGUAAUGCCUAGGAAUCUGCCUGGUAGUGGGGGAUAACGUCCGGAAACGGGCGCUAAUACCGCCUACGUCCUGAGGGAGCAAGUGGGGGAUCUUCGGACCUCACGCUAUCAGAUGAGCCUAGGUCGGUUUAGCUAGUUGGUGGGGUAAAGGCCUACCAAGGCGACGAUCCGUAACUGGUCUGACAGGAUGGUCAGUCACACUGGAACUGGGACACGGUCCAGAGUCCUACGGGAGGCAGCAGUGGGGAAUAUUGGACAAUGGGCGAAAGCCUGAUCCAGCCAUGCCGCGUGUGUGAAGAAGGUCCUCGGAUUGUAAAGCACUUUAAGUUGGGAGGAAGGGCAGUAAGUUAAUACCUUGCUGUUUUGACGUUACCAACAGAAUAAGCACCGGCUAACUUCGUG